CUUGCAAACUAUUUUUUUCCUCUUUGUGUGUGCAAACAAUUUAUUUGCACUUUUUUGUCUUUGCAAAUAAUUUUUUUAAGAAUUUUCCAUCCCCCCCCUCCAAAAAAAUAAUGGUCCGUUCCUUAGAUCAGCCAAAAACAUAACUAUUAUGUAUAUAAAAGAUUGUUCAACUUCAGAACUUUGCUCAAGAAAAAUUGGUCAGCAG
Molecule: non-coding RNA, 205 nt
Organism: Paramuricea clavata
Lineage: Eukaryota; Metazoa; Cnidaria; Anthozoa; Malacalcyonacea; Plexauridae
Source: the annotation of a GenBank genome assembly